Long non-coding RNA from Eriocheir sinensis (Chinese mitten crab), 2321 nucleotides. RefSeq lists it as uncharacterized. NCBI's taxonomy places the organism in Eukaryota, Metazoa, Arthropoda, Malacostraca, Decapoda, Varunidae. The record is from RefSeq and is a predicted model, not a curated record. The transcript is spliced from 3 exons.
CUUCCUAUUUAACAACAUAUGCUGAGUUGGACGAGGCCAUGGAUACUGGCUUCAGACAAUUAAUGCAUGCUGACUUAAAGGAAGGUCACGUACAGCACUCAAAAACGUUUAUGCUGAGCUGAUAAUAAAUUGAGCAUAAAAAAUGGCCAUGCUGUAACUUAUAUGUUAAUUAAGCCAUGCUGAUCAAAUCCUUACUAAACUCAGAUUAACAAAGUCAGCAUAUUAUAUUUAUAGCAUAGAAUUGGUAUGAAAAAAUCGGUCAUGCUGAGUACAGCCUGACAUCAUUGAAUCUUUAAUGCUGUCAUGCUGAUAUCUUGACCAUCCUGAGUUCAAAAUAGUCAGCAUUGAUACACAGGCUAUGCUGAGUGAGAAUUAACAUUACUGACUUAAUAAACCCCCAUAUGCUGAGCUCAGAUGGGAAACUAACACAUGCUGACUGAUUCUGGGCCAUGAGGUUGUUGACCAAUCCUUCCCCACUUAUAAAUUACUUGCAAUACUUAUAGGCUACUUUUGUGACUCUGUGUAGGCCUACAUUCCAUAAUACUCAACCUAACCUCAAUCCUCUCUCUCUAUACCAAAUGGAUUUAGACGUUAAAAUUCUUCCUUAUGAACUGUUCUUAUAAAUUACUUGCAAUACUUAUAGGCUACUUUUGUGAUUCUGUGUAGGCCUAUAUAGUCAUUCCAUAUUCAACCUAACCUCGAUCCUCUCUCUUUCUAUACCAACUGGAUUUAGCAAUUAAAAUUCUUCCUUUGGGGGUGUAAUUAAUUUCUGUAUGCCACUCAAUCUGAUGCCUUGGAACUUGGAUACAUAGCCAGUAUUAAUAUAUCUGAAUGCUGUGUUGGGUAAUUAAUCACUAAUUGAUCCUGAUAAAUACUGUUUGGGGACAUCAUUAAUUCUUCUCGGUCAAUCCUUGUUCAUUGAUAUGCUCAGGAACUUGGAUUAUAAACAAGUCUGAACUUUCAACAGUAAAUACAUAGUAAAUUCUGACAGCACGGGACUUUUCCAAACAGUCAAAUUCCCUCUAUAUAAAUAGUUUGUGGGUGGCUGGGGAGCUAAUUCAUUCUCCUAGGUCAACCCUCCCUCUUUCAAUGUGAUGGUUUAGCCCCUUGAAUUUUUGCCGGUACUAAUUAUAAGCUUUCAAGUGUUAAAUAUAUAGCAAAUUCUGAAUACAAGUCCUUUGCAGAUGGCUAGACUCCCUCACUCAAUCCCUUCCUACACACAGUUCUCCUUACAUAAUACUCAUUGUUAUUAAGUCAGUAAUAAGCAUCUAAGCAGAAUAAUGACCAAGAUAAGCUAUAGAUGAAAUUAAUAUAGAUAUAUGUAGACAGAACCUCACAAGUUAAGCUAUUUCCAGUUUCCAAGGGCUGAGUUAAGCUGGGAGUUAGGUUAGAUCCUCGCAUGAAUUUAAGCUAUUUCCAGUUUCCAAGGGCUGAGUUAAGCUGGGAGUUAGGUUAGAUCCUCGCAUGAAUUUAAGCUAUUUCCAGUUUCCAAGGGCUGAGUUAAGCUGGGAGUUAGGUUAGAUCCUCGCAUGAAUUUAAGCUAUUUCCAGUUUCCAAGGGCUGAGUUAAGCUGGGAGUUAGGUUAGAUCCUCGCAUGAAUUUAAGCUAUUUCCAGUUUCCAAGGGCUGAGUUAAGCUGGGAGUUAGGUUAGAUCCUCACAUGAAUUUAAGCUAUUUGCAGUUUCCAAGGGCUGAGUUGAGCUGGGAGUUAGGUUAGAUCCUCACAUGAAUUUAAGCUAUUUCCAGUUUCCAAGGGCUGAGUUAAGCUGGGAGUUAGGUUAGAUCCUCACAUGAAUUUAAGCUAUUUGCAGUUUCCAAGGGCUGAGUUGAGCUGGGAGUUGUUAGACCCUCACAUGAAUUUAAGCUAUUUCCAGUUUCCAAGGGCUGAGUUGAGCUGGGAGUUAGGUUAGAUCCUCACAUGAAUUUAAGCUAUUUCCAGUUUCCAAGGGCUGAGUUAAGCUGGGAGUUAGGUUAGAUCCUCACAUGAAUUUAAGCUAUUUCCAGUUUCCAAGGGCUGCGUUAACCUGGGAGUUAGGUUAGAUCCUCGCAUGAAUUUAAGCUAUUUCCAGUUUCCAAGGGCUGAGUUAAACUGGGAGUUCCGUUUCCUUGUCUAUAUCUACCUAAAUUCCCCUUCAAUCAUUAGCCGGGCACUCCACACCUCCCCUUUCUUGACCAUUAUACUCAUCCACUUCUGUUCGGGAGACUGAUCUUUUUACCCUUCAGACAUUUAAGAUUGAAGACAUUAGCUUCAAGACUCCUAGUUUCUAUAUACCUUCAAGUUGACACCAUCCUGUAACCUAACUUGCAUGGGAAACUGUACCU